UCGAGCGGUAGCACAGAGAGCUUGCUCUCGGGUGACGAGCGGCGGACGGGUGAGUAAUGUCUGGGAAACUGCCUGAUGGAGGGGGAUAACUACUGGAAACGGUAGCUAAUACCGCAUAAUGUCGCAAGACCAAAGUGGGGGACCUUCGGGCCUCAUGCCAUCAGAUGUGCCCAGAUGGGAUUAGCUAGUAGGUGGGGUAACGGCUCACCUAGGCGACGAUCCCUAGCUGGUCUGAGAGGAUGACCAGCCACACUGGAACUGAGACACGGUCCAGACUCCUACGGGAGGCAGCAGUGGGGAAUAUUGCACAAUGGGCGCAAGCCUGAUGCAGCCAUGCCGCGUGUGUGAAGAAGGCCUUCGGGUUGUAAAGCACUUUCAGCGGGGAGGAAGGCGUUGAGGUUAAUAACCUUGUCGAUUGACGUUACCCGCAGAAGAAGCACCGGCUAACUCCGUGCCAGCAGCCGCGGUAAUACGGAGGGUGCAAGCGUUAAUCGGAAUUACUGGGCGUAAAGCGCACGCAGGCGGUCUGUCAAGUCGGAUGUGAAAUCCCCGGGCUCAACCUGGGAACUGCAUUCGAAACUGGCAGGCUAGAGUCUUGUAGAGGGGGGUAGAAUUCCAGGUGUAGCGGUGAAAUGCGUAGAGAUCUGGAGGAAUACCGGUGGCGAAGGCGGCCCCCUGGACAAAGACUGACGCUCAGGUGCGAAAGCGUGGGGAGCAAACAGGAUUAGAUACCCUGGUAGUCCACGCCGUAAACGAUGUCGAUUUGGAGGUUGUGCCCUUGAGGCGUGGCUUCCGGAGCUAACGCGUUAAAUCGACCGCCUGGGGAGUACGGCCGCAAGGUUAAAACUCAAAUGAAUUGACGGGGGCCCGCACAAGCGGUGGAGCAUGUGGUUUAAUUCGAUGCAACGCGAAGAACCUUACCUGGUCUUGACAUCCACAGAACUUUCCAGAGAUGGAUUGGUGCCUUCGGGAACUGUGAGACAGGUGCUGCAUGGCUGUCGUCAGCUCGUGUUGUGAAAUGUUGGGUUAAGUCCCGCAACGAGCGCAACCCUUAUCCUUUGUUGCCAGCGGUUCGGCCGGGAACUCAAAGGAGACUGCCAGUGAUAAACUGGAGGAAGGUGGGGAUGACGUCAAGUCAUCAUGGCCCUUACGACCAGGGCUACACACGUGCUACAAUGGCAUAUACAAAGAGAAGCGACCUCGCGAGAGCAAGCGGACCUCAUAAAGUAUGUCGUAGUCCGGAUUGGAGUCUGCAACUCGACUCCAUGAAGUCGGAAUCGCUAGUAAUCGUAGAUCAGAAUGCUACGGUGAAUACGUUCCCGGGCCUUGUACACACCGCCCGUCACACCAUGGGAGUGGGUUGCAAAAGAAGUAGGUAGCUUAACC
Molecule: ribosomal RNA, 1386 nt
Filed under: Klebsiella sp. XJ121-126-YF1
Lineage: Bacteria; Pseudomonadati; Pseudomonadota; Gammaproteobacteria; Enterobacterales; Enterobacteriaceae
Description: bacterial SSU rRNA
Rfam family: Bacterial small subunit ribosomal RNA
Source: RNAcentral